UUUUAAUAAAUAAUUAUUGAGAAGCUACUAUGUGCCAGGCACUUUACUAAGUGCAACAGAUGCAGAGAGAAUGCUCAAAGAGUUGAGGCUAAGUGAUUGCCCAAUAGAUAUAGAUGCCACCUGACUUAGGUCAGAUUCCCUUGAAGCAGAGACUGAAACAGGGACCCAGGAUUGGAAGUGACUGAUGGAGGGCAUAUUUUCAGAGAAAAGAGAGUGAGAGACACAGACUGAGUGGGGAAAAAUCUAAGCAAGGAUGUGGUCUCAUUUUGAGUCUGACUUCAGCCUGAUCUAAUGGAGGACUCUAGAAUUGCACACUGGAGUUGGUCCCAUCUUGAAGCAAGGUGAGUGGUGUUUUGUUCUUUCUGUGUCAUUCAGGUAUUGGCUGUGGACUGCCCUUUGUGAAGGAUGGGAGCGGGCCCCCUGGUACAUAGUUGUAUAUUCUUCGUUGUGGGUCAACCUAGUUAUGGCAUGUGGGAUGCUGCCUCACCGUGGCCUGAUGAGCAGUGCCAUGUCCACACCUAGGACUCGAACCAACGAAACACUGGGCUGCCUGCAGCGGAGCACAUGAACUUAACCACUCGGCUACGGGGCCAGCCCCCAAUGGAAUGAUGUUUUAAAAAAUUUUAGUUUAAAAUGUAGCAUAGGAAGUGUUAUGUAUAAAUAAUGAAAAAGUUGUUAUUUUAGCACCCUUGAUUUUUAUACUGAGGCAAGGUUCAGAUUACAUAAAUUCCUGUGAUGUGAUACCAUAUAUUCUUCCCACCCUCACUGCUGGUUUGCAGUACUUUAUGCCAAGGAUAACAGUACUAACAUUGUAAUACAACACUUUGAUACGCUUUAUUUUAUUCGAUUUUCAUCUAGUUUGGUAAGCCCACCUAUCAGUCUUGGAAUAUCCAUUCAUCUCUUCUUUCAUUAGUCUUUUUACUCUUUGUUUCACUAUAUCCCUCUCAUUCCUGGAUGCUGCCAAGAUCAGGUACCUGGUGCUCUCAUACUAGCUCUUAUGUGACUGGCUCCCUCAUUGUGACACCUCACCAAACUCUUCUAAUUUUAUUGUUAUUGAGACUGACCAACACCUAAGAAAGGGGCUUUCUGCCCAAAGCUCUGAGCAAG
Molecule: long non-coding RNA, 1107 nt
Filed under: Equus caballus (horse)
Lineage: Eukaryota; Metazoa; Chordata; Mammalia; Perissodactyla; Equidae
Description: lncRNA (ENSECAG00000046415.1)
Source: RNAcentral